Pongo abelii (Sumatran orangutan) is the source of this 77-nucleotide small nucleolar RNA. The record is from Ensembl. NCBI's taxonomy places the organism in Eukaryota, Metazoa, Chordata, Mammalia, Primates, Hominidae.
AGUGUAUGAUGACACUCAGUAAUGCCACACACUCCUGUGUGCAAUGGAAAAGACAAUCUUGAUGAGUUGAGUGUACA